Molecule: ribosomal RNA, 279 nt
Filed under: uncultured bacterium
Lineage: Bacteria
Description: partial 16S ribosomal RNA
Rfam family: Bacterial small subunit ribosomal RNA
Source: RNAcentral
UGCCAGCAGCCGCGGUAAUACGGAGGGGGUUAGUGUUGUUCGGAAUUACUGGGCGUAAAGCGCACGUAGGCGGAUUAGUAAGUUAGAGGUGAAAUCCCAGGGCUCAACCCUGGAACUGCCUUUAAUACUGCUAGUCUUGAGUUCGAGAGAGGUAAGUGGAAUUCCGAGUGUAGAGGUGAAAUUCGUAGAUAUUCGGAGGAACACCAGUGGCGAAGGCGGCUUACUGGCUCGAUACUGACGCUGAGGUGCGAAAGCAUGGGUAGCGAAGAGGAUUAGAUA